UAAUACGGAGGGUGCAAGCGUUAUCCGGAUUCACUGGGUUUAAAGGGUGCGUAGGUGGGCAGGUAAGUCAGUGGUGAAAUCUCUGGGCUUAACCCGGAAACUGCCGUUGAUACUAUCUGUCUUGAAUAUAGUGGAGGUGAGCGGAAUAUGUCAUGUAGCGGUGAAAUGCUUAGAUAUGACAUAGAACACCAAUUGCGAAGGCAGCUUGCUACACUAUGAUUGACACUGAGGCACGAAAGCGUGGGGAUCAAACAGGAUUAGAUACCCUGGUAGUCCACGCCCUAAACGAUGGAUACUCGACAUCAGCGAUACACAGUUGGUGUCUGAGCGAAAGCAUUAAGUAUCCCACCUGGGAAGUACGACCGCAAGGUU
RNAcentral lists this ribosomal RNA (372 nucleotides) under uncultured bacterium. Its description in RNAcentral is "bacterial SSU rRNA". It matches the Rfam family "Bacterial small subunit ribosomal RNA", at positions 521 to 895 of the family's 1533-position model. The record is from RNAcentral.